GUAAUGGCUCUUCUGAGAGCCAUCUAUACUUAUCAACAAAGGGGGU
Molecule: non-coding RNA, 46 nt
Organism: Chlorocebus sabaeus (green monkey)
Lineage: Eukaryota; Metazoa; Chordata; Mammalia; Primates; Cercopithecidae
Source: Rfam